GACGAACGCUGGCGGCGUGCUUAACACAUGCAAGUCGAACGGAAAGGCCCUGCUUUUGUGGGGUGCUCGAGUGGCGAACGGGUGAGUAACACGUGAGUAACCUGCCCUUGACUUUGGGAUAACUUCAGGAAACUGGGGCUAAUACCGGAUAGGAGCUCCUGCUGCAUGGUGUUGGUUGGAAAGUUUCGGAGGUUCGGGAUGGACUCGCGGCUUAUCAGCUUGUUGGUGGGGUAGUUGCUUACCAAGCCUUUGACGGGUAGCCGGCCUGAGAGGGUGACCGGCCACAUUGGGACUGAGAUACGGCCCAGAAUCCUACGGGAGGCAGCAGGGGGGAAUAUUGCAGAAUGGGCGGAAGCGUGAUGCAGAAACGCCGCGUGCGGGAUGACGGCCUUCGGGUUGUAAACAGAUUUGGCAUGUGACGAAGCGUGAGUGACGGUAAUGGGUAAAGAAGCACCGGCUAACUACGUG
Molecule: ribosomal RNA, 468 nt
Filed under: uncultured bacterium
Lineage: Bacteria
Description: partial 16S ribosomal RNA
Rfam family: Bacterial small subunit ribosomal RNA
Source: RNAcentral